RNAcentral lists this transfer RNA (67 nucleotides) under Spirobranchus giganteus. Its description in RNAcentral is "tRNA-Asp". The record is from RNAcentral. Lineage: Eukaryota; Metazoa; Annelida; Polychaeta; Sabellida; Serpulidae.
AGGAGUAUAGAAUAAGAAAGUUCAGUUCCUUGUCGCGGAAUUGGUGCCCGUAAGACGGUUGCUCCUC